UAUCUCAUUAUAAUCUUUUAUAGACUGAAACUUGUACCACCAUCAAACUUUUCUAUUUUAUACCUUGUGGAUGUCGCCUAGAAUCCCUAGACUGUGCACUAAAAAAACAAACAAAGAAAAAAAUUUGUCGAAAAAUAAAAAACCAUUCCCAGGGAGUCAUCACUGCACAGAAAACCAUCAAAUGCGACCACUGAGUGUAAUAGCCUAAACUCUCAUCCAAAGUCUUGAACGAAU
Molecule: long non-coding RNA, 234 nt
Filed under: Carica papaya (papaya)
Lineage: Eukaryota; Viridiplantae; Streptophyta; Magnoliopsida; Brassicales; Caricaceae
Description: long non-coding RNA (CPAP_LNC012718)
Source: RNAcentral